GUGCCAGCGCCGCGGUAAUACGGAAGAUGCGAGCGUUAUCCGGAUUUAUUGGGUUUAAAGGGAGCGUAGGCGGACUCUUAAGCCUGCGGUAAAAUGUCGGCGCCCAACGCCGGCCCGCCGUGGGAACUGGGAGUCUUGAAUGUGCACAAGGCAGGUGGAAUUCGUGGUGUAGCGGUGAAAUGCUUAGAUAUCACGAAGAACUCCGAUUGCGAAGGCAUCCUGCUGGGGCAUGAUUGACGCUGAGGCUCGAAAGCGCGGGAAUCAAACAGGAUUAGAUACCCUGGUAGUCCGCGCCGUAAACGAUGAAUACUGGUCGUUGGCGCCAUACGGUCAGCGACUGAGCGAAAGCAUUAAGUAUUCCACCUGGGGAGUACGCCGGCAACGGUGAAACUCAAAGGAAUUGACGGGGGCCCGCACAAGCGGAGGAACAUGUGGUUUAAUUCGAUGAUACGCGAGGAACCUUACCCGGGCUUGAAUUGCACAGGACGGGGUGCAGAGACGCACCCUUUCUUCGGACCUGUGUGAAGGUGCUGCAUGGUUGUCGUCAGCUCGUGCCGUGAGGUGUCGGCUUAAGUGCCAUAACGAGCGCAACCCCUGCCGCCAGUUGCCAUCAGGCAGUGCUGGGCACUCUGGCGGGACUGCCAUCGCAAGAUGUGAGGAAGGUGGGGAUGACGUCAAAUCAGCACGGCCCUUACGUCCGGGGCUACACACGUGUUACAAUGGGGGGCACAGAGAGUUGCUUGCCGGUGACGGCUGGCGGAUCUUGUAAAUCCCCUCUCAGUUCGGAUCGGAGUCUGCAACCCGACUCCGUGAAGCUGGAUUCGCUAGUAAUCGCGCAUCAGCCAUGGCGCGGUGAAUACGUUCCCGGGCCUUGUACACACCGCCCGU
RNAcentral lists this ribosomal RNA (888 nucleotides) under uncultured bacterium. RNAcentral describes it as "bacterial SSU rRNA". It matches the Rfam family "Bacterial small subunit ribosomal RNA", at positions 505 to 1397 of the family's 1533-position model. The record is from RNAcentral.